This 514-nucleotide ribosomal RNA is filed under the name uncultured bacterium. RNAcentral's name for it is "bacterial SSU rRNA". It matches the Rfam family "Bacterial small subunit ribosomal RNA", at positions 34 to 518 of the family's 1533-position model. The record is from RNAcentral.
CGCUGGCGGCGUGCCUAAUACAUGCAAGUCGAACGGCUUUUCUAUGGAAGCUUGCUUCCACUGAGAAGAUAGUGGCGAACGGGUGAGUAACACGUGGGUAACCUGCCCAUAAGAGGGGGGAUAACAUCCGGAAACGGGUGCUAAUACCGCAUAGUUUUCUUGAUCGCAUGAUUGAGAAAGGAAAGACGGCCUUUGUGCUGUCGCUUAUGGAUGGACCCGCGGCGUAUUAGUUAGUUGGUGAGGUAACGGCUCACCAAGACGAUGAUACGUAGCCGACCUGAGAGGGUGAUCGGCCACAUUGGGACUGAGACACGGCCCAAACUCCUACGGGAGGCAGCAGUAGGGAAUCUUCCGCAAUGGACGAAAGUCUGACGGAGCAACGCCGCGUGAGUGAAGAAAAGGGUUUUCGGAUCGUAAAACUCUGUUGUCAGAGAAGAACAAGUUGGAGAGUAACUGCUCCAGCCUUGACGGUAUCUGACCAGAAAGCCACGGCUAACUACGUGCCAGCAGCCGC